Molecule: ribosomal RNA, 510 nt
Filed under: uncultured bacterium
Lineage: Bacteria
Description: bacterial SSU rRNA
Rfam family: Bacterial small subunit ribosomal RNA
Source: RNAcentral
GUACGGCCGCAAGGCUAAAACUCAAAGGAAUUGACGGGGCCGCACAAGCGGCGGAGCAUGCGGAUUAAUUCGAUGCAACGCGAAGAACCUUACCAAGGCUUGACAUGAGAGGUAAUCCGGCAGAGAUGUCGGGGUCCGUAAGGGCCUCUCACAGGUGGUGCAUGGUUGUCGUCAGCUCGUGUCGUGAGAUGUUGGGUUAAGUCCCGCAACGAGCGCAACCCUUGUUCUAUGUUGCCAGCGCGUAAUGGCGGGGACUCAUAGGAGACUGCCGGGGUCAACUCGGAGGAAGGUAGGGAUGAGGUCAAAUCAUCAUGCCCCUUAUGUCUUGGGCUUCACGCAUGCUACAAUGGCCAGUACAAAGGGCUGCGAGACCGUAAGGUGGAGCGAAUCCCAAAAAGCUGGUCUCAGUUCGGAUCGGGGUCUGCAACUCGACCCCGUGAAGUCGGAGUCGCUAGUAAUCGCAGAUCAGCAACGCUGCGGUGAAUACGUUCCCGGGCCUUGUACACACCG